AGUGCGCCAGCAACCCGCGCGGCUCUCUUUCUAUUAUACAGCAUUUACAAUCCUCGCUUUGCUUGUUUUUCUCCCCUCUCCCCACGUUAUUGUUUAUUCUUUUUAAGCCCGGGAAGUAUAUAUUUCUUUCUAACACAAAGACGCGGUGUGCGGCUGCACACGCGAAGACCGACCUCGACUUUCGGAGUCAUGUGUGGGAGACAAGACUGUCAAUUCAAGACCCUACUCGCGGUUUUGGUUCUCGCUGCUGCCGUGGGCAAAACGCAUGGGCAAGGGCCAAAUGAAAGCAGAGAUGUCAGUACGAGAACACCAGGCAGUGACUACUUCAGACACUCGCCAACACAGGACACAGAGAGCGAAGUCCACUUGGUUACCACCGUCUCACCGAUGAACAUCCCCAACCACCGGCCCGUCCUCAAGGGAAUGCUGCUUCACGAGCAUCUGCUUACAAGGGACUUCCAGGGGGACCAGCAUUUCUUCAGGAGGGACGGUUCUGUGGCUGGGUAUCCCACCAUGCCAGGCUCCGUGUCUGCCUUGGACCUUGGAGAUGCUGCCACUCAAGUGGUGCCCCACGAGGAUGCCCCUGCCUUCUCAGACAUCGCCACCACUGCCACUCCGGCUGCCACAACCUCACUGACCACAUUUUCUCCCGCGCCGCCAAGGCCGCCAAUGUCUCUCCCUAAGGAGAAGCCCAGCGGGGUAGAAAUGGCAGAGCCGACAACAGACUCCCUCACCACUCAAGUGACACAGAAUAAUAGAGGUUCAGGUGGCAAAAACGACCCAGUUGCCACCUCAACCUUGCAGAGAAACCCGCCCCAAAGUCGUAGCGCUUUCCCUGAAGGCGCCACCCUUGCAUCCUUGUCAACUGGGAUGGAGAAAGGUGAAACGAGGGAGACGCCACUAAAACACAAAAGCAGCUCUGAUCAUCCUCUAACCAAGCUAACUGAGGUUUCCCAAGUAGAGGGUACCACCACCAUGUCUACAACCAUCAUCACAACCACCACCAUCACACAAACAUCAGAGCCGUGCAGUCUGAAUUUCACUGAACCUGAGGGGAACAUCGAAAUCCUGCAGCAAAUUGAUUCUGGAGUAGAGUGCAACUACUUGAUUACUGUUUACCUGGGAUACGGCAUCGAGGUUCAGGUGCUAAAUGUGAGUGUGCUGGAGGGUGAGCAGGUGACAGUGGAAGACACAGGUGGCCGAGAACCCUUCAUCCUUGCCAACGAGACGGUCUUGAUGAGGGGCCUCGUACUGCGCAGCUGGAGCAACCAGAUCUCCAUCCGAUUCCGUAGCGACCAACGACACAACUCCGGAUUUCUGCUGCUGCAUUACCAAGCUUUUGUGCUGAGCUGUGCAUUCCCCAAAGAGCCAGCUGGUGGGGAAGUUACAGUGACACACCUCCACGCUGGAGGUGAGGCCUACUUCCGCUGUUUCACCGGCUACAAGUUGCAAGGCCCCAAAAUGCUCACCUGUCGCAAUGCAACUACACCUUACUGGAGUGGGAAGGAGCCCCAGUGUGUAGCAUCCUGUGGGGGGAUGAUAAAAAAUGCUACCUACGGUCGUAUCGUCUCACCUGGUUUCCCUGGCAACUACAGCAACAACCUGACAUGCCACUGGGUCCUGGAGGUCCCUGAAGGCCACCGGCUUCACAUUCACUUUGAGAAGGUGGCUCUGGCAGAGGAUGAUGACAGGCUGCUGAUCAAGAAUGGCAACAACAUCGACUCCCCCCCUGUGUACGACUCCUACGAGGUGGAGUACUUGCCCAACGAGGGUGUGCUCAGUACUGGACGUUACCUGUUCAUAGAGUUCACCACAGACGGGACAGUAACCUCCACUGGUGCAGCCAUCAGAUAUGAAGCUUUUGCCACAGGCAUGUGUUACGAGCCCUUUGUGAAAUAUGGCAACUUCAGCAGCAGCGACUCCACUUACGGCUUGGGUGCAGUGGUUGAAUUCUCAUGUGACCCUGGCUACACGCUAGAGCAAGGCUCCGUCGUGAUCGAGUGUGUGGACGCACAAAACCCUCAGUGGAAUGAAACAGAGCCAGCCUGCAGGGCUGUGUGCAGCGGCGAGAUCACAGACUCUGCCGGCGUGGUUUUGUCUCCCAAUUGGCCUGAGGCCUACGACAAGGGGCAGGACUGCAUCUGGGGCAUCCAUGUGGAAGAGGACAAGAGGAUCAUGCUUGACAUCCAAGUUCUCCACGUGGGUAAGAACGACCUGCUGACCUUCUACGAUGGCGAUGACCUCACAGCCAACAUCCUUGGUCAAUACAGCGGCACAAAGCCACACUUCAAGCUCUACACAUCUAUGGCCGACGUCACCAUUCAGUUUCAGUCAGAUCCCGCCACCAACAUAUACGGCUACAACAAUGGCUUUGUGGUCCACUUCUUUGAGGUGCCCAGGAACGACACGUGUUCAGAGCUGCCGGAGGUCACCAACGGCUGGAAGAGCACGUCCCACCCCGAUCUGAUCCACGGCACUGUCAUCACCUAUCAGUGCUAUCCUGGAUUUGAGCUGGUCGGCUCGGAGAUCCUCAUGUGCCAGUGGGAUCUCACCUGGAGCGGCGAUGUGCCGAGGUGUGAGGAAGUUAUGACAUGUCGGGACCCUGGAAAUGUGGAGCACAGUCGUAAAGUGGUCUCAGGCAGUCGCUUCAUCGUUGGGUCCACGGUGCAGUUUAUCUGUAACAAAGGCUACGUCCUGUCCGGCAACAGCCUCCUCACCUGCUACAACCGAGACUCAGCCGUGCCCAAGUGGAGCGAGAGGCUGCCCAAGUGUGUCCCUGAAAAGUACGAGCCGUGCAGGAACCCCGGCGCUGCCUCCACCAGCGUGCAGAGCUCUGAAAAGGCCUUUUACCAGGCAGGAGAGACGCUGACCUUCUCCUGCCACUCGGGCUACGAGCUGCAGGGCGAGGCCUCCAUCUACUGCAUCCCCGGACACCCGUCACAGUGGAACAGCACUCCCCCUGCCUGCAGAGCAUCUUCAACCCAGUAUGAGAAUGAACGCAGGCUGGACGUUGUUGAUAGGGAUUAUGCGAUGGAGGGAACCAACGUUGCCCUUGCAGUUUUUAUUCCAACAGCAAUCAUCUUGGUGGUUGUCCUUGGGAUUUAUGUCUACUUUGCAAAACUGCAGGGGAAGUCGAUCAGGAUGCCGACGUCCUCGCCGCCGUACGACAACAUGACGGAAGAGUCGGCUUUCGACAACCCAAUAUACGAGAGUGGACACCAGCAGACUCAUAGAUACUAAUCCCAGUCAGUGUGCCCACAUUUGACUGUGAACUGCAGAACAGCUAUGAGGACAAAUGAAAAAAAAAAGAUUUAAGAGGUGUCCAUUUAGAGACCUUAAAGCAAGAGUUGCUCAAGCUUUGCCUUUUGGGACCCUCUCUGCACUGCUCAUCUUUCCCUCCAACGUUUUUCUUUUUGUCUGCAAACGAUGAUAUUCUUUCCAUAUUUCCCUUUGUGUGGAUUCCUGUAAAUAUGUCUUUGUCUCCACGGUCAACUGUGAAUCUGUGGGUCACCAUGGUGAUAUUUUUAUAAAGUAAAUUGCUGAUGACCGUUGGUGAUUAUAUGUUUUUGACAACUUUUUGACGACUUGAGCCAGUAGCAGUCAGCGAUCGAGAUGUGUUGGCUUCAAAUUCCCCAUUAUACCCAACAUUCUUUGGGAUAAUCGCCAUGAUCACUUUGUUUUUGUAUGUAUGGGUCUGCUAUUUGUAAAUAAACUGCCUGUCCAAUAUGAGUGCCUCACGACUGACUAAAACCUGACAAAUCACAUGUGAAAAUGUUUGUUAAUCUUUCAUUCGACUUUUAUUUUGUGCCUGACAUUCUCAGCACUGCGAGUGUGCUCCGUUUUUUUCCCAUCGCACACAAAACCAAAAGAUGCUGGAUAAUUUUCCCACCAUAGCUGACGUCUGGUUCCCACUGCAUAUCGCCUCAGAGGAUUCACAUGGGAAGCAUAAGCUGUGCUUAACGUCACACUGUCAAGUCUGCCUCAAAGAAUAAGUAGUAGUUGUACAUUUGUGUGUGUUCCAAAAUGUGGUUGCACCUCAACAUCAGCACAAAUAAAACUCACUGAAAUACAUGAUUAUUUUAAUGUUUGUUUCCAAUUUAUCAAUGCAGACUGACACAGUUGCAAUUUAGCCAAUAAAAUCCUGCAGUAUGCAUGGGUUUUUAAAAAUUCCUUUGGGUUGUUGUGGUGCAUCUGCUUGUGUUAAAUUUUGUAGAUAGACCUUGUAUCAUUUGUGCAUCUUCUUUACGCUCUAACAAAUAUUUUUCUCAGCACCACAGCUGGUGCAGCCACAUCCAGGAAACCAAAAUC
Paralichthys olivaceus (Japanese flounder) is the source of this 4308-nucleotide RNA transcript. It is a transcript of the gene named seizure protein 6 homolog, with no coding region annotated. The record is from RefSeq and is a predicted model, not a curated record. Lineage: Eukaryota; Metazoa; Chordata; Actinopteri; Pleuronectiformes; Paralichthyidae.